CUCCCAAAAGGGCCAAGGGACAGGAGCAGGGGCUGCCAUGCCUUGGCUCCCUGAUGACUGGCCAGGACCCUCCCAGGGCUCUGCCCCCAGUGAUCCCACACAACCCCAGCCCUGGGAAGGGCUGCUGCCAUUGGAGAGGAAGCAUUAUUUAGCUGGAGCAUAGACUGGAGCUCUGUACAGCAGGACCUUUUUUUCAAAAGGCACUACAAAGAAAUGUUAUGAAGCAAUAUAUUGCCUGGAUCAAAUGCACCAACACCAGGAUCUACCCUGCUUGUUUCUCUGGGAGAUCACCAGGACAUAUGACAGCAUCCUCAGCGAGCUGCAGACGUUUCUAUUUAAGCUGCUUGGAAGGAUACCUCAGUAGCAGCCCUACUGGGCUCAAGGAGACAGAGGCUGACAGGGAGCUAGAGAUGGGCUUCACUCAGAGUAGUGUGGGUGUGUGGUCCCAGGCUCCAGUCUGGACUCUGGAAGUUUUCACCAGCCACACUUUGGUCUGAAUCUUAUUUCUAGAAGAUUGCAUCAUAUCACAGCCAGUAGGUUGCUUGUCCCACAUUCUUCACAGCUUCAGGCAAGUCCACUUGCUUAACAGUUUCCUGUGAUGCUCCUUGAUGCUUGAUUAAUUCUGUAUCAUGGUGAGAUUAAAAAGACAAAAAGCCUUUUUCCCCCCCUACUGCUCCUUUUC
RNAcentral lists this long non-coding RNA (682 nucleotides) under Cyanistes caeruleus (blue tit). RNAcentral's name for it is "lncRNA (ENSCCEG00000015223.1)". Lineage: Eukaryota; Metazoa; Chordata; Aves; Passeriformes; Paridae. The record is from RNAcentral.